UACGUAGGUGGCGAGCGUUAUCCGGAUUUACUGGGCGUAAAGUGGGUGCAGACGGUUUUUCAAGUCGGAUGUAAAAUCUCUCAGCUUAACUGAGAGGGAUCACCCGAAACUGCUAGACUAGAGGACAACAGGAGGAGGUAGAAUUCCCGGUGUAGUGGUGGAAUGCGUAGAUAUCGGGAGGAAUACCAGUGGCGAAGGCGGCCUUCUAGGUUGUUUCUGACGUUCAUGCCCGAAGGUGUGGGGAGCAAACAGGAUUAGAUACCCGCGUA
This 269-nucleotide ribosomal RNA is filed under the name uncultured prokaryote. Its description in RNAcentral is "partial 16S ribosomal RNA". It matches the Rfam family "Bacterial small subunit ribosomal RNA", at positions 524 to 792 of the family's 1533-position model. The record is from RNAcentral.